GUUGCAUCUAACUCCUGUGUGUGUGUGUGUGUGUGUGUAAUAAUGUUUUUUCUCUCUGCUGAGGCUUACUUCUCCAGCCUAUUGUUUGAGACAACAGAUAUAAGUUGCGAUGGGAGAGGAGCGUCGGAUUUGGUGUGUAUCCCCCAUUUCCAAUUAUAGAUGGAUCAUUACAGACAGCGGAGUCCUGAGAAGCCAGACAUCUGCUCCUCACAUGAAUGCACUCACCUCCUAGAGACCAGGCUGCCAUCAUGCUCUGGAAGCUCGUGGAGAAUGUCAAGUACGAAGAUAUCUAUGAGAUGUUAGUCCACACCUAUUCAUCCAUGGACCGGCACGAUGGCGUCCCGAGUCACAGCUCGCGACUCUCCCAGCUGGGCUCCGUGUCCCAAGGACCUUAUUCGAGCGCCCCGCCGCUGUCCCACACCCCGUCGUCAGACUUCCAGCCGCCCUACUUCCCACCCCCCUACCAGCCGCUCCCCUACCACCAGAGCCAGGACCCCUACUCCCACGUCAACGAUCCCUACUCCCUGAACCCACUGCACCAACCCCAACAGCACCCCUGGGGGCAACGGCAGCGACAAGAAGUGGGUUCAGAAGCCGGAUCUCUCCUGCCCCAGCCUCGGGCCGCCUUGCCCCAGCUCUCGGGCCUGGACCCUCGGAGGGACUAUCAUUCAGUCCGCCGGCCCGACGUGCUGCUACAUUCCGCACACCACGGCCUGGACGCGGGCAUGGGUGACAGCCUGUCCCUGCACGGCCUGGGUCAUCCCGGCAUGGAAGAUGUCCAGUCAGUUGAAGAUGCCAAUAACAGCAGCAUGAAUCUAUUGGAUCAGUCUGUCAUAAAAAAAGUUCCUGUUCCUCCCAAAUCUGUGACUUCUCUGAUGAUGAAUAAAGAUGGUUUUCUGGGAGGCAUGUCCGUCAACACUGGCGAGGUGUUUUGCUCAGUCCCUGGUCGUUUGUCUCUGCUCAGUUCAACUUCAAAAUACAAAGUAACUGUGGGGGAAGUCCAGAGACGACUUUCGCCCCCCGAAUGCCUCAACGCUUCUCUCCUCGGCGGCGUCCUUAGAAGAGCCAAAUCGAAAAAUGGGGGGAGAUCUUUGAGAGAAAGGCUAGAAAAAAUCGGUUUGAAUUUACCCGCGGGCAGACGCAAAGCAGCAAAUGUCACAUUACUCACCUCCCUGGUGGAAGGAGAAGCUGUUCACUUGGCUCGGGAUUUUGGGUACAUCUGUGAAACAGAGUUUCCUGCCAAAGCUGUUUCUGAGUAUUUGAACCGGCAGCACACGGACCCCAGUGACCUGCACUCCCGAAAGAAUAUGCUGCUGGCCACCAAGCAACUUUGUAAAGAAUUUACAGAUCUGCUCGCACAGGACCGGACGCCCAUCGGGAAUAGCAGGCCCAGCCCCAUCCUGGAGCCAGGGAUCCAGAGCUGCCUCACGCACUUCAGCCUCAUCACACACGGUUUCGGCGCCCCGGCCAUUUGCGCCGCGCUCACAGCCCUGCAGAACUAUCUCACCGAGGCGCUCAAAGGCAUGGACAAGAUGUUCUUGAACAACACCACCACUAACAGGCACACGUCUGGGGAAGGCCCAGGUAGUAAAACUGGCGACAAGGAGGAGAAACACAGGAAAUGAAAAAAAAAAAUUAAAGAAAAAAAUGUUUUAAAUACAAAAGGAAAACAAAAAAAAUAAUUUUAGCUUUAAAAUAUUGGAUUGGCUUUGGAAGAAUUAUAUUAGGUAGAAUACACAUACAAUCAAAAAUUUAAAAAAAAAUCAAGGCUAAAUAUCACUUAAAAACAAAAAACAAAAACCUGAGGCGUACAACGGAGCAACAAUACCGGUUCUCAGUGUCUAUUUCAAGAUACAUUUGGAGACAACCGUCCGGAUUUUCCACUUCGGUUCUUUCGAGCUUAGUAAUACUGAUAAUAAAAGAAAAACAUGAUUUUUUUCCCUUUGGAAAAUAAACAUAAGACUAAACAUGAAAAAAAAACCCACUAACUUAUUGGAAGAAACUCGGAGAAACGUUGGUGUCAGUGCUUUGAAAGCUGGUUGACUGAGACGCACGAACUUUUUAAUUUUUGAUUUUUUAAAAAGGAAACUCGCACCCCAUCCCCCACCCUUCCACCUCACCUUAAUCGUUUCCCAGCCACCCUUUUCUACGUUGCUCUCCCUUCCUCAAGCUGUCACGGGAAUCCUCCAGGAUGAAAAUGAGAGUGGUUAGACCUAUAGCGUUGUGUUUCAGCCCCUCCUGUCCCCUGCCCCCACCCCUCGCCCGGAGUUCUUAACUCAGUGGUGCCCAGCUACCCGGCCAUUUGCAGAGUUGGGGGGGGGGGAGUGAGGGCGAGGGUGUGGGCGAGAGAGUGGGAGUCCGUGGAGGUGCAGGCCUUGGCUGCAGCUUUUGGUGCCCGCUGGUUUAGUGGAGACUCCAGCAACUGAGGCUGAGAAAAAUCCGGACCAAUAAGUUGAUUCACUUAUCAUCAGUUCCUUUCAGCAAUGUUACUAGUUCCCAGCCUUGCCAGCAUCUACAUACAGGGACCCUUGCAUUUGUUAUAUCUGUCUCACCUACUAAUUUUUAAGAGCAAUAGUAAAACACACACACAAUAUGAAUACGUUGAUUAAUAUGUAAUUCCUUCGGAGGGGUAUGUACCAUUUCAUUCUCUUCUGUUUUCCAAAGCUUUGCCCGCAUGGUUUAUGAGCUUCUUCAAAGAGGACUUGGGCUUCCUACACAAUCUAUAAGGGCAACGCGCCUCACGCGUGUGAAGUGCGAGAGACGCGAUGGACGCGCCUUGCUCUUACUGUGCAGGCCCUGAGAGCGUGGGGGCCACUCGCACCCUGUCGUGUUGAGGACAUAAAAUCAGCCGCUGGAGGGGCCACGGGCUGCGGGCACCCUUCCCGCUCUCGGUCUCACCCUAAGAGCUAAGGCAACCGAGAAAGCCCGGCUCUCCAGUAGGUAAUGGGGCAUCGCCCCGCGGGCUGCAGGCGGGGAGGGGUCUCAGCGCGGCCCAGGCUCUUUGCUACCAGCGUUCACCCGGGUGCCUGCUCCCGGAGGGCACGUGACAUAGUGAUGACCCGGUAAUCUCGAGCUCUCUUCCCCUUAGGCGUCCUGCCCCAUCUUUGCUGGGACUAGAUCUACGUCCACCCUCAGGUCCAGUAGACGGGUGGUGGGACAGGAAUUGUUGGCUGCGCAGACUCCCCUUCAAGGCCCUGCAGCCCAGCUAAGUAGGAUUCCUUUCAAGUCUCUCUUGUCACCACUCUCCCUUUUCCUCCCCAUUUCGUGUACGACCCCCAUCCCCCUUGCCUUCUUUAGCUAGGCCCUCUGUUCAGUUUAUCUGCUAAUUGAAUUAUUAAAAGCUUUGGUUUCCUUGGGCCCAUAAAUCAAUAAACAGUAGGAUUAACGCAAAAGUUUGCCUUCUAUGUCAAGGAAAACAUUUUAGAGCAAGCCCUUUGAGCUUUAUUUUCAAAUCAAACAGGUGAAUUGCAGCUCUUGCUCCAUUCCUGGACUCCUUAGGCAUUUUAUCCAUGCCACAUGUUCCCUCCUAAAUAAGAGGUGCCAAACCAAAAUAGCUAAAGAUAGGACAAAAAGCCAGAAUGUGGAAGUACUGUCCUCACACUUUCCACUUUUCAAGUCCCUUUGGAAGUUCUAAAUGUGUUGUACUACUCUGCCCAAUCCUGCACCUUCUAUAGGUGUUCUGUGACUUUUUUUUUUUUCUUUUCUUUUCUGGGUCUGCGCAAGGAUCUCAUGAAGGAAGUGAACUUUAACUUCUCCAACAAAUGGGAAAAAUAACUUUCUCUCCCUACCCCCUAUAUUAUUUGGCUUCCGCUCACCCCCCACAAUACUUGCCCCCCCCUCUCUCUAACUCCAAAUCCUUAGGUUUCGCCACCCCACCCCCAACACACACUUAAACCUAAGAGGCUUUCAAAGACCUGGCUAUUUUAUUUUCUUUGGCCAAGGAAACCACUUUCUCUCAGUCAUUUCACAUCCUAAGUAAACUUUGGUCAAAUGGAAAACCUGAACACCCCCCCCCCCCAGCUUAUCUGCACACUACUCCUCAGUUACAAAGUCUCACUUUACACUUAAAAGGGCAACUUAUUCCUACUUACAGUGUUUAUAGAGAAUUUGUCAUCACAUCUGAUAUCAUGUAUGUAUAAUACAUUAUGUGGAAAGAAAAUAAUAACCUUAAACCAUCUGAUGCUGCCUCAAGAGCCCAAACAGUGUUUUCCCUCCUGUGCUGAUGUUUGAUGUAUGUUAAAUAAUUGGGGGUUAAAAAACAGAGUAUCAAAAUUCAUUGUUUUCUUUCAAAAAGUGGAAUGAACUCUUUUUUAAAAUAGCAAAAUCAGCUCCUCUUGAGUUAAUCUGUAAUUCACUAUCAUUGUUUUUGCCACACAAUUGACAAAUAUCAAUUUAUUAUCUCUUCAUGAGGAGAUCUCUGGAGGGUAUCUAUCCAUGUUAAGUUUGUAUAUAUUUAUUUAUGCUUAAUUUAAUGGGAAUGUGUAAAUAUGGCGAGCAAGUAGUUUGGGAUUAUUUAUCUGUGAAUCUAUACCUCUGUGAAUGGGUGGUAAAACAAAACAAAACGCUUGACCCUAGGUAGAAUCUUAUCUGAAUUUUUUCUGUUCUUUAUAGACAAGCUGUCAUGGUAAUGGGUAGAAAUUGGUUUACUGUCCAGUGUUGAUCUGAUUUACAUAAAUAAAAGAUUGUUGUGUUUUU
Erinaceus europaeus (western European hedgehog) is the source of this 4695-nucleotide RNA transcript. It is a transcript of the gene named transcription factor AP-2 beta, with no coding region annotated. The record is from RefSeq and is a predicted model, not a curated record. The transcript has 9 exons. Lineage: Eukaryota; Metazoa; Chordata; Mammalia; Eulipotyphla; Erinaceidae.